This 305-nucleotide ribosomal RNA is filed under the name uncultured bacterium. Its description in RNAcentral is "bacterial SSU rRNA". It matches the Rfam family "Bacterial small subunit ribosomal RNA", at positions 337 to 638 of the family's 1533-position model. The record is from RNAcentral.
UCCUACGGGGGGCAGCAGUGAGGAAUAUUGGUCAAUGGGCGCAAGCCUGAACCAGCCAAGUCGCGUGAGGGAAGACGGCCCUACGGGUUGUAAACCUCUUUUGCCGGGGAGCAAGCCUGAGCACGUGUGCCCAGGCGGAGAGUACCCGGAGAAAAAGCAUCGGCUAACUCCGUGCCAGCAGCCGCGGUAAUACGGAGGAUGCGAGCGUUAUCCGGAUUUACUGGGUGUAAAGGGAGCGUAGACGGCAGGGCAAGUCUGGAGUGAAAGCCCGGGGCCCAACCCCGGGACUGCUUUGGAAACUGCCA